This 433-nucleotide ribosomal RNA is filed under the name uncultured bacterium. RNAcentral's name for it is "partial 16S ribosomal RNA". It matches the Rfam family "Bacterial small subunit ribosomal RNA", at positions 29 to 507 of the family's 1533-position model. The record is from RNAcentral.
AACGAACGCUGGCGGCAUGCCUAACACAUGCAAGUCGAACGAGACCUUCGGGUCUAGUGGCGCACGGGUGCGUAACGCGUGGGAACCUGCCCUUUGGUUCGGAAUAACUCCCCGACAGGGGUGCUAAUACCGGAUAAUGUUUUCGGACCAAAGAUUUAUCGCCUUUGGAUGGGCCCGCGUUGGAUUAGCUAGUUGGUAGGGUAAAAGCCUACCAAGGCGACGAUCCAUAGCUGGUCUGAGAGGAUGAUCAGCCACACUGGGACUGAGACACGGCCCAGACUCCUACGGGAGGCAGCAGUGGGGAAUAUUGGACAAUGGGCGAAAGCCUGAUCCAGCAAUGCCGCGUGAGUGAUGAAGGCCUUAGGGUUGUAAAGCUCUUUUACCCGGGACGAUAAUGACAGUACCGGGAGAAUAAGCUCCGGCUAACUCCGUG